This 305-nucleotide long non-coding RNA is filed under the name Vigna radiata. RNAcentral describes it as "long non-coding RNA (VRAD_LNC014614)". The record is from RNAcentral. Lineage: Eukaryota; Viridiplantae; Streptophyta; Magnoliopsida; Fabales; Fabaceae.
AAAGAAGAAAAGAGAAAAAACAUGCAAAGUGAACUCAAUGUAAAAAGGAAAAAAGGGAAGAAGUUGGGAAUGAGUGAGAUUGGUUAAAAAGAGAGUGUGCUUGAACUUUGAAUGAUUAUUUAAACUCUCUUAACUCAAGGAUUUUGUAUUCUAGAAAAACCAAUUUUUCUUGAUAGCCCAGCCACAUUACAAGCCUUGGAAAAAGUCCUUGUGAUGACAUUUGCAUGUGAAGAUUUUGAUUGUUUUAGAUGAAUGACAAUAUUGUUUUAUGUAACAUGUGAACAGUAGAGAGUAGAGUGACCUCC